Molecule: long non-coding RNA, 1618 nt
Organism: Helianthus annuus (common sunflower)
Lineage: Eukaryota; Viridiplantae; Streptophyta; Magnoliopsida; Asterales; Asteraceae
Exons: 2
Source: RefSeq, a predicted model, not a curated record
ACGUACAUGAUAAACAGAAAUAAUAAAUAUAUAAAUUCAUUUUUGAAGCAUAGAAAUCAUCCUUAUCAUUUACUUAACAUGGUCACUUUCUUUGAAAACAUAACACUUGUAACCAUUUGAAACACCUCUGCAAAUUUUGACUCAUCUUAAAAUUUUGAUAUUUUUCUCAAAACUUAGAGGCCAAGAAAACCCCUUAUAAAACUAUACGUUUCCUUUUCAAAAUCAAACCACACCUAAUUCAUUUUUUUCUUUCUGUCACCCUCUACAAUAUUUAUCGACAACUCUCCUCAAGUUUUGCUUACACAUUGAGGACUCCGUGAUCGUAGAUGUAAUCUAUUAUCUCAGUUGUGAUCAUCGCUUAAGGUACGGACCCCUCUCCACAUAUGUGUACAAGUUUAGGUUUCCACUACCCAGUAGUCAGAAAGACUAAACUCGUUAUUUUGUUAUAUUAUUAUGUGGUACGGACUCUUAAACAACUUUAUGUGCACAAAUUUAGGUUUCCACUACCUCGUAGUUGAAGAUUUACAUUUGUUAUUUUACUGCUUUUGUGAUCUUUAAGAUUAUGUGCUAUUAUAAUUAAAUAUUAGUUAUAUUGUUUUAGCAAAUAUUGAUUAUGACACACUGAAGCACUGAUGGUGUCGCACCGAAAGGUGACGCACUGAAAAACUGAAUACUGAAUGUGAUUUUGUGACGCAUUGAAUGUGAACUGACUACGCAUUGAACUACUGAAUGUGACGCACUGAAGGUGACUAACUGAAUAUGUUAUAUGUAUUGUUUGAUAUAUAGAUAUCGUUAAGAAAAUAUAUAUUGCGUUGUUGUCCCACUGAGUAAACCCCGUUUACUCAGGCGUACAUUUGCCUUGUUAUGUACGUUAGGUUGCAAGGAUUGUCGGGAAGACUUGGAUGGAUGGUUCGAGGGAUUAAAGACGCACAUGGAUUUUCUUUAAAAGUUUAAAUUGUUUUGUACAAUAUUUCGAAUUUUUGAAAUAAUGUAAGUUUUAUAAUUUAGGGAGGGAUGUUUUGACCUCUGAUGUACUGUAUAAGUAACACGUCAACCCGAGCCGGGUUGGGGUGUUACAGUCAGUGUGGCGCACGCGCGCAUGGGAGUGAGCCAAAAUGGCGCACGCGCGCAUGAGCGUGCAGACUUGCACGCGCAAGGGCGCGCGCGCAGAAGCUUCCAGCAUGGAAUUAUACUGCAGUUAAAGUUCAGCUUUGAAACCGCCGAGUCAAACGGUUUUGACUGAGAAUUAAAUGACGAAUUAAAUUGCAUUGAAGACGUUUAAUGCAAUUUAUUCCUCUCAUUUAAUUUGAUUUUGGCUGUAUAAAUACAGCCUCUUAGUCACUGCAGAAGAGACCAGCAACACAACAGCAAAUUCAACUUUCUCUCAACAGCUUUCUGAUCUUCUACUUGCUCUCUUCAAGGUAGCCUUCGGGUUGUAGGGCAGCUCCGGUAGUACUACUGCUCUGGCUGUUGUACCCUGGGAAAUAAAACGAGUACUCCUGGGAGACUCGGAAUUUGUUUUAAGGGAAGAGUGUUGAACACAUGCCUCAGUCUUCGAUUUCAUCCUUUUCUUGUAUUUCCUUUAUUUCAGUUGUAAUUGUAAUAGUAUUUCUGCUUU